RNAcentral lists this ribosomal RNA (733 nucleotides) under uncultured Vibrio sp. Its description in RNAcentral is "bacterial SSU rRNA". It matches the Rfam family "Bacterial small subunit ribosomal RNA", at positions 28 to 733 of the family's 1533-position model. Lineage: Bacteria; Pseudomonadati; Pseudomonadota; Gammaproteobacteria; Vibrionales; Vibrionaceae. The record is from RNAcentral.
AUUGGACGCUGGCGGCAGGCCUAACACAUGCAAGUCGAGCGGUAACAGGAAGGAAGCUUGCUUUCUUUGCUGACGAGCGGCGGACGGGUGAGUAAUGCCUGGGAAAUUGCCCUGAUGUGGGGGAUAACCAUUGGAAACGAUGGCUAAUACCGCAUGAUGCCCUUGUUUAUAAUGAACAGGGACCAAAGAGGGGGACCUACGGGCCUCUCGCGUCAGGAUAUGCCCAGGUGGGAUUAGCUAGUUGGUGAGGUAAUGGCUCACCAAGGCGACGAUCCCUAGCUGGUCUGAGAGGAUGAUCAGCCACACUGGAACUGAGACACGGUCCAGACUCCUACGGGAGGCAGCAGUGGGGAAUAUUGCACAAUGGGCGCAAGCCUGAUGCAGCCAUGCCGCGUGUAUGAAGAAGGCCUUCGGGUUGUAAAGUACUUUCAGUCGUGAGGAAGGGGGUAUCGUUAAUAGCGGUAUUCUUUGACGUUAGCGACAGAAGAAGCACCGGCUAACUCCGUGCCAGCAGCCGCGGUAAUACGGAGGGUGCGAGCGUUAAUCGGAAUUACUGGGCGUAAAGCGCAUGCAGGUGGUUUGUUAAGUCAGAUGUGAAAGCCCGGGGCUCAACCUCGGAAUAGCAUUUGAAACUGGCAUACUAGAGUACUGUAGAGGGGGGUAGAAUUUCAGGUGUAGCGGUGAAAUGCGUAGAGAUCUGAAGGAAUACCAGUGGCGAAGGCGGCCCCCUGGA